Saccostrea cuccullata (small rock oyster) is the source of this 305-nucleotide long non-coding RNA. RefSeq lists it as uncharacterized. Lineage: Eukaryota; Metazoa; Mollusca; Bivalvia; Ostreida; Ostreidae. The transcript is spliced from 2 exons. The record is from RefSeq and is a predicted model, not a curated record.
GUCCGUAGCAGGGGUAUAAUUAUAAAUUGAAAACGAAAGUAGAAAGGUUGUGCAGCUGUCUGCAAAAAAACAUGGCGAUGCUCAUUGUGUCCACGUGGAAGACAGAAGUUACGUACAUAAUAGAUUCGAUUUACAAGAAAUGACUGAAUUAUGUUCGUAACAAUGACACAAAGAUCCAAGACUCAAAAUAGAAGACCCAGGAUAUUUAGCAAUCCAUCUGACAAUUUACUUGUCUGCAUUAAUUCUCUUUGAAAACUAGUCUAUUAUUAAGCUUUGAAAUGAAAUAUUAAAAGUAUUAAAGACAA